Molecule: ribosomal RNA, 497 nt
Filed under: uncultured bacterium
Lineage: Bacteria
Description: partial 16S ribosomal RNA
Rfam family: Bacterial small subunit ribosomal RNA
Source: RNAcentral
GAUGAACGCUGGCGGCGUGCCUAAUACAUGCAAGUCGAGCGAACGGACGAGAAGCUUGCUUCUCUGAUGUUAGCGGCGGACGGGUGAGUAACACGUGGAUAACCUACCUAUAAGACUGGGAUAACUUCGGGAAACCGUAGCUAAUACCGGAUAAUAUUUUGAACCGCAUGGUUCAAAAGUGAAAGACGGUCUUGCUGUCACUUAUAGAUGGAUCCGCGCUGCAUUAGCUAGUUGGUAAGGUAACGGCUUACCAAGGCAACGAUGCAUAGCCGACCUGAGAGGGUGAUAGGCCACACUGGAACUGAGACACGGUCCAGACUCCUACGGGAGGCAGCAGUAGGGAAUCUUCCGCAAUGGGCGAAAGCCUGACGGAGCAACGCCGCGUGAGUGAUGAAGGUCCUCGGAUCGUAAAACUCUGUUAUUAGGGAAGAACAUAUGUGUAAGUAACUGUGCACAUCUUGACGGUACCUAAUCAGAAAGCCACGGCUAACUACGUG